Molecule: long non-coding RNA, 367 nt
Organism: Asparagus officinalis (garden asparagus)
Lineage: Eukaryota; Viridiplantae; Streptophyta; Magnoliopsida; Asparagales; Asparagaceae
Exons: 2
Source: RefSeq, a predicted model, not a curated record
GGCCGCGGAGACCCGGUGCUCUCGGCUCAGUCAUCUUGGCUGCGGUUAGGGCGAUUGGCGGUUGAAGAGGGCGGGAGAUAGAGAGGAAAAUGCAACUAAACUAAUCAGUAAAGAAAUCGGGAAUGCUGCUCAAGGUGUUCGGCAUUUUCUCCCCCAUUUUCCCCUCUCAUUUCCCAUUAGACAAGGGUCUGAAAUGUGAGCAGUGGUGAACAAUUCCACUUUCGUUUUCUUUCAUCAGAAAUUGCUGACAGUUGCAUUUCUUUCAAAAUACGGAGUGAUCUUGGGAUUGUAAAUAUUUGAUUCUGUUAGCAAGACAUCGUUAUAUAUGAAGUAAAUUAGUGAUUGCAUUCCGUAUUUCUUUUCCUAA